This is a non-coding RNA of Oryza sativa Japonica Group (Japanese rice), 1074 nucleotides long. NCBI's taxonomy places the organism in Eukaryota, Viridiplantae, Streptophyta, Magnoliopsida, Poales, Poaceae. The record is from RefSeq and is a predicted model, not a curated record.
GCCAGUCUCAAUGGGCAUUUCAGGAGAGUUUCAUGCACAUUUAAUGCAUUGACACAUCAGCAUAGAAGGCAUUUUUGCAUGAAAUAGGGAGAAAAGAGGGGAGAAUCGUUUCACCAUGGUGAAACGACUCUGCGUCGUUUCCUAGGCCUCGGUAACUCUGUGAAACGGCCAUUGAGGGCGAUUUUUGUUUCAUCCUCGAUCCCGUGCGCAGAGGCAACGGCGAGCUCGCCAUUCCCGCGCGCGCGCGCUUCUCCCGCCCCCCAGGUCCUUCUUCCCGCCCCUUCCUCCCGCCUCCUUCUCCCCAAUCCUCCUCCUCCCGCCCGCCCAUCAUCUGUCCAUUCUUGAGCGUCGUGGCUAGGGUUACGGCACCAGAUCGAGCAGGCAUGGAUCCGCCGCCGGCGUCCGAUUCACGGCGGCGCGGAGGUGGCAGAGGAGGCAAGAAUCGCGCGGGGAAGCAGCUUGGACUGAAGAGACCGGCGGCGCCUGCUCCAUCAUCGCGUCCAGGUUCCCCAUCACCACCGCAUCGAACCCCGCUGCCUCCGAUUUCCACCUCCGCUGCGUCGAUUUCGGCUGCUGCACCGACUCCGACCCCUGCUGCUGCGUCUUCGUCCCCUGCUGCCCCGAUGAGCAACAUGCCCCCAUGGCCUGCUCAAGGAGGAGGAUGGGGCGGCAUUCCCCCCAAUUUUCCAUUCGGUCAUGGAGAGCAGCAAGGCCCAAACUCAUGUAUUGAAGGCUGAAGUCAAUAUCAUCCUGCAGUAUUGAAGGCUGAAGUCUAUUUGAAUUAUUUUUAUCUACCUUAUCUAUCUUUGUCAAUCUGGUCCAGUAUACCAGAUUUCAGUCACUUUAGUUUAUCCAGUUUAUCGUAUGGUUGAACUUAUCCAAGUUAUCUUAACUACCUUAUAUAUGGAUGAACUUUGCUAUUCCAUGAGCAGUUUGCUUGCCGUAUGCAGUUAUCCAUUUUAUCUGAACUUGUAUGCUUGUUCCAGAAAUAUAUUUGUAUAUGCAUGGCUACAAAAUCACCUGGUGCAUAUGAUCAGGCUGCUAUCAAGCAACCGAAAGGCCUUAAUUGCUUUA